CUCAUUUGUUAAAUUCAAAGUCCAAACAUAAAGUUGAAAUUGAUGUUGAAAAUAAUGAUGGUAAAACAGCUCUUCAUCUAGCUGUGGCUGGAGGAAACUGCCAGAUUGUUGCAAAGCUGUUGGCCAAAAAUGCAGAUGUAAACCAUGGCGAUGCGCUCAAUGACAAUACUGCAUUACACAUUGCAGUCGAAAAUAAUCAUCCUGAUGUUGUGAAAAUUUUAUUGGAUGUUCCAAAUAUUUCAGUUGAUGAAUACAAUCGGCAAGGACAUACGCCAUUGCAUUUAGCUUGUGUUAUAAAUAGUGGAAAAGGAUCUGAAAUCAUUGUUCAUAAGCUUCUUGAGGCUCAG
This is a long non-coding RNA of Ctenocephalides felis (cat flea), 347 nucleotides long. RefSeq lists it as uncharacterized. NCBI's taxonomy places the organism in Eukaryota, Metazoa, Arthropoda, Insecta, Siphonaptera, Pulicidae. The transcript has 3 exons. The record is from RefSeq and is a predicted model, not a curated record.